RNAcentral lists this ribosomal RNA (276 nucleotides) under uncultured prokaryote. RNAcentral's name for it is "partial 16S ribosomal RNA". It matches the Rfam family "Bacterial small subunit ribosomal RNA", at positions 524 to 800 of the family's 1533-position model. The record is from RNAcentral.
UACGUAGUGGGCUAGCGUUAUCCGGAAUUACUGGGCGUAAAGGGUGCGUAGGUGGUUUCUUAAGUCAGAGGUGAAAGGCUACGGCUCAACCGUAGUAAGCCUUUGAAACUGAGAAACUUGAGUGCAGGAGAGGAGAGUAGAAUUCCUAGUGUAGCGGUGAAAUGCGUAGAUAUUAGGAGGAAUACCAGUUGCGAAGGCGGCUCUCUGGACUGUAACUGACACUGAGGCACGAAAGCGUGGGGAGCAAACAGGAUUAGAUACCCCUGUAGUCCCUGA